GUUUACUAUGUCAGGGUGGGGGGUGGUGAGGGGGAGAGGAGCAACUUGAGCCUGAACACCUGUCCUUAAUUUCCCUGCUGUCACCAUCAAGGCAUAGUAAACAGAGAAUAAGGUGUCUGAAGACAGCCUAUGUUCCUCUGAGGUUCUGCAGGCAUCUGGGAUGCUUUCCUGUCGCUCAGGUCCAUGACAGGCACCAGUGCAGUGACUGGCACUCUUUCCUCAUCCACAUUGAGCAGAGCAUCCUCCAAAUUCAGGCCUUUUGUACACAUCCAACUCACACCCUUUCUCCAUCACUCUCUUGUCUCCGCUCCCAACCCCUCAAAGCAGCAGAACAAAUGAAUCAUAGAGUUCUUUUAAUGGAAUCCGGCUCUGAAGGAGAAUGUCUGAGUGGAACCAAAGAGAGGAUUCUGAGUCCCCAUUCACCAUCAAGAGAUCAAACAGCAGGUGGAUCACAGAGACACAAGGUGGAGGGCAGGCCGUGAAGAGCCCGGCAAUGGCCAGCACAGUGAUUUCUGACCUAAGCCCUGUGAGACUGCAAGUGGCACAGUCUCCAUUCCCAGUUCCUGAGGAGUUUCCUGCAAUGACUUUGGCUAAAGCCACAGGGAUCCUUGCCUCAGCCAGGACUGUGACUGAUACUACACGUCUCAUUCUUCCUUGCUUCCAGUCUUCCAUUUUUUAAUAAAGCACUUCUGACUACAAGCUUUCAACAUGAAAGUCUGCAGAUGUUGCUCCUCACAAUAUUUAAU
Molecule: long non-coding RNA, 746 nt
Filed under: Vulpes vulpes (red fox)
Lineage: Eukaryota; Metazoa; Chordata; Mammalia; Carnivora; Canidae
Description: lncRNA (ENSVVUG00000013366.1)
Source: RNAcentral